UAAAACCACAGGUAGUACUGAAUCCU
This 26-nucleotide non-coding RNA is filed under the name Homo sapiens (human). The record is from RNAcentral. Lineage: Eukaryota; Metazoa; Chordata; Mammalia; Primates; Hominidae.